GGAAUCUUCCACAAUGGGCGCAAGCCUGAUGGAGCAACACCGCGUGAGUGAAGAAGGGUUUCGGCUCGUAAAGCUCUGUUGUUAAAGAAGAACACGUAUGAGAGUAACUGUUCAUACGUUGACGGUAUUUAACCAGAAAGUCACGGCUAACUACUUCGCCAG
This 162-nucleotide ribosomal RNA is filed under the name uncultured bacterium. RNAcentral describes it as "partial 16S rRNA". It matches the Rfam family "Bacterial small subunit ribosomal RNA", at positions 358 to 511 of the family's 1533-position model. The record is from RNAcentral.